RNAcentral lists this ribosomal RNA (253 nucleotides) under uncultured bacterium. Its description in RNAcentral is "partial 16S ribosomal RNA". It matches the Rfam family "Bacterial small subunit ribosomal RNA", at positions 524 to 776 of the family's 1533-position model. The record is from RNAcentral.
UACGGAGGGUGCAAGCGUUAAUCGGAAUUACUGGGCGUAAAGAGUGCGUAGGCGGUUAUUUAAGUCAGAUGUGAAAGCCCCGGGCUUAACCUGGGAAUGGCAUUUGAUACUGGAUAACUGGAGUUUAGGAGAGGUAAGUGGAAUUUCAGGUGUAGCGGUGAAAUGCGUAGAUAUCUGAAGGAACACCAGUGGCGAAGGCGACUUACUGGCCUAAAACUGACGCUGAGGCACGAAAGCAUGGGUAGCAAACAGG